This 1408-nucleotide ribosomal RNA is filed under the name uncultured bacterium. Its description in RNAcentral is "bacterial SSU rRNA". It matches the Rfam family "Bacterial small subunit ribosomal RNA". The record is from RNAcentral.
AGAGUUUGAUCCUGGCUCAGGAUGAACGCUGGCGGCGUGCCUAACACAUGCAAGUCGAACGGGCGUACGGGAUGGAAGGCUCCGGCCGGAAGCCCCGUGCAUGAGUGGCGGACGGGUGAGUAACGCGUGGGCAACCUGCCCUGUACAGGGGGACAACACUUAGAAAUAGGUGCUAAUACCGCAUAACGGGGGGAGCCGCAUGGCACCCCCCUGAAAACUCCGGUGGUACAGGAUGGGCCCGCGUCUGAUUAGCUUGUUGGCAGGGUAACGGCCUACCAAGGCGACGAUCAGUAGCCGGCCUGAGAGGGCGGACGGCCACACUGGGACUGAGACACGGCCCAGACUCCUGCGGGAGGCAGCAGUAGGGAAUUUUCGUCAAUGGGCGCAAGCCUGAACGAGCGAUGCCGCGUGAGUGAAGAAGGCCUUCGGGUCGUAAAGCUCUGUUGCGGGGGAAAAAAGGCAGCAUCAGGAAAUGGGUGCUGACUGAUGGUGCCCCGCCAGAAAGUCACGGCUAACUACGUGCCAGCAGCCGCGGUAAUACGUAGGUGGCGAGCGUUAUCCGGAAUGAUUGGGCGUAAAGGGUGCGCAGGCGGUCCUGCAAGUCUGGAGUGAAACGCAUGAGCUCAACUCAUGCAUGGCUUUGGAGACUGGAGGACUGGAGAGCAGGAGAGGGCGGUGGAACUCCAUGUGUAGCGGUAAAAUGCGUAGAUAUAUGGAAGAACACCAGUGGCGAAGGCGGCCGCCUGGCCUGUUGCUGACGCUGAGGCACGAAAGCGUGGGGAGCAAAUAGGAUUAGAUACCCUAGUAGUCCACGCCGUAAACGAUGAGGACCAAGUGUUGGGGGUGAAACCUCAGUGCUGAAGUUAACGCAGUGAGUCCUCCGCCUGGGGAGUAUGCACGCAAGUGUGAAACUCAAAGGAAUUGACGGGGGCCCGCACAAGCGGUGGAGUAUGUGGUUUAAUUCGAAGCAACGCGAAGAACCUUACCAGGCCUUGACAUGGGAUGCGAAGAUGCAGAGAUGCAUCGGAGGUCAACAUCCACACAGGUGGUGCAUGGUUGUCGUCAGCUCGUGUCGUGAGAUGUUGGGUCAAGUCCCGCAACGAGCGCAACCCUUGUGGCAUGUUGCUAACAGGAAAAGCUGAGGACUCAUGCCAGACUGCCGGUGACAAACCGGAGGAAGGCGGGGAUGACGUCAAAUCAUCAUGCCCCUUAUGGCCUGGGCUACACACGUACUACAAUGGCGGCUACAAAGAGCAGCGAGACAGGGAUGUCGAGCGAAUCUCAUAAAAGCCGUCCCAGUUCGGAUUGGAGGCUGCAACCCGCCUCCAUGAAGUUGGAAUCGCUAGUAAUCGCGGAUCAGCAUGCCGCGGUGAAUACGUUCCCGGGCCUUGUACACACCGCCCGUCAA